Molecule: ribosomal RNA, 429 nt
Filed under: uncultured bacterium
Lineage: Bacteria
Description: bacterial SSU rRNA
Rfam family: Bacterial small subunit ribosomal RNA
Source: RNAcentral
GUGGGGAAUAUUGCGCAAUGGGGGAAACCCUGACGCAGCGACGCCGUGUGAGGAAGAAGGCUUUCGGGUCGUAAACCUCUGACAGGAAGGAAGAACCUCUCAAGGCUGAACAAGCCUUGGGACUGACGGUACUUCCAGAGGAAGCACCGGCUAACUCCGUGCCAGCAGCCGCGGUAAUACGGAGGGUGCAAGCGUUAAUCGGAAUCACUGGGCGUAAAGCGCGCGUAGGCCGUCUUUUAAGUCGGACGUGAAAGCCCUCGGCUCAACCGGGGAACUGCGUUCGAUACUGGGAGACUUGAGUCCUGGAGAGGGUGGCGGAAUUCCGGGUGUAGGAGUGAAAUCCGUAGAUAUCCGGAGGAACACCGGUGGCGAAGGCGGCCACCUGGACAGGUACUGACGCUGAGGCGCGAAAGCGUGGGGAGCAAACAG